Long non-coding RNA from Acipenser ruthenus (sterlet), 1381 nucleotides. RefSeq lists it as uncharacterized. The record is from RefSeq and is a predicted model, not a curated record. Lineage: Eukaryota; Metazoa; Chordata; Actinopteri; Acipenseriformes; Acipenseridae. The transcript has 8 exons.
AGGGAUAUGUGGUCCUAACACUUUCACAAAGGAGGUAGUGUUACUCCCAGAUCCUACUGCUGAAUUGGUUCCUCGACGGGGAACGAAGCAAUGGCUGUUUGAUAAUGGUCAUGUCAAGAACGCAGUGGAGUUUCAAAAAGACUGGGAUGCCAAGACCAUAAUGGAACAUCUCCAAAUGGUUUUUCAAGAUAAAAUUGAUUCCACCAUUCAAUUUGAAAUUCUAAUGGGACUUCAUAAUAAAGUGGUAAAGCCUAACCUGGUUGCUGGCCAAACUCUGAGUGGAUUUUUAAUUCACAAAGUAUUUGCAUCUAAAGCCUUGUAUCUUAGACCAAACAAGAUGCUGCUUCAGAUGCCACAUGAUGACACAAACAAGAUCACAAAUGCAUAUGCCAAUGACCUUCAAGAUCAAUCAUAGAAGCCUUUAAAUGACGAGUCACAUUGUGAAGUACACCAAACGGGUGAAGAACUGCACCAAGAGAUACCAACCCUUCAGCUGACAAACACUGAUGUUAUAUGCAGCACACCGUUCUCUGAUUUAGGGAAUUACGAAGUAGUCUGUUCUGUUUCACCACUUCAGUUGAUGACACAAACUCGGACACCUCCAAACCUACAUUCCAGCUGCACAGCCACUGCAGAAGAAAGUAAAUCCAGUGACCCAUAUCAUCAGUAUAUCAACAUAUUGGAUUUAACUCAAGAUGACAACUCUGAAGCUGCCAUUCUUUUGGAUGACAGUCUUAUUGAACCAUCACAUGAUGGUUUCCUUCUUGAAGACAUCCUCGGUAAUCUAGCUAAAGCAAUAAAUGACGAGGAAAUCAGUAUUUUUAAUAUUAACAGAUCUACUGUGUGGGAAGGUGCACUGCACGGAUUCCGAAGAAAUACAUAUUCCCCAACCAAAAGAAUAUCUGUGAAAUUUACUGAUGAUGUGGGCCAUUCUGAAGGUGCAGUUGACAUUGGUGGACCUCGCAGAGAGUUCUUACGACUUCUAAUGAAGCACCUGCAGACCAGCUGUCUAUUUAUAGGACCAGAGAAUCAAAAACAUCUAUGUUUAAAUAGUUCAGCUGUGAGAUCAGAUGACUACUUCAUUGCCGGAAGAGCUAUUGCUGUGAGCCUUGUACAUGGUGGACCACCGCCCCGAUUUCUGGCAACUGAAUUAUAUGAUGCACUAGUGAGAGGACCAGAAAAUGUGACCUGUGAUUUCCAGAAAAUUCCAGAUGAAGAUUUAAAGUCAAAACUGGAGAAAAUUGGUGAUGCGCAAAGUUUAGAAGCAGCAGUGGAUGCUGUCUUGAUGUCACAGGAUUUCCUCAGUUUAGCAGGGUGUUUGCGUCAUGUGACUUCUCUAGAAGGUCAUAAACAGCUUGUAAAAGAAGCUACAAACUGGUAU